This 253-nucleotide ribosomal RNA is filed under the name uncultured bacterium. RNAcentral describes it as "partial 16S ribosomal RNA". It matches the Rfam family "Bacterial small subunit ribosomal RNA", at positions 524 to 776 of the family's 1533-position model. The record is from RNAcentral.
UACGUAGGGUGCGAGCGUUGUCCGGAAUUAUUGGGCGUAAAGGGCUCGUAGGCGGUUUGUCGCGUCGGGAGUGAAAACACUGGGCUUAACUCAGUGCUUGCUUCCGAUACGGGCAGACUAGAGGUAUGCAGGGGAGAACGGAAUUCCUGGUGUAGCGGUGAAAUGCGUAGAUAUCCGGAGGAACACCAGUGGCGAAGGCGACUUCCUGGCCUGUUCUUGACGCUGAGGCGCGAAAGCUGGGGGAGCAAACGGG